UGCAGUCGAACGGGGUCGGAACUUCGGUUUCGGCUUACGUGGCGCACGGGUGAGUAACACGUGGGAAUCUGCCCAUCUAUGGGGAAUAACUGCGGGAAACUGCAGCUAAUACCGCAUACGCCCUUCGGGGGAAAGGCUUCGGCCGUAGAUGGAUGAGCCCGCGUCCGAUUAGCUAGUUGGUGGGGUAAUGGCCUACCAAGGCGACGAUCGGUAGCUGGUCUGAGAGGAUGAUCAGCCACACUGGGACUGAGACACGGCCCAGACUCCUACGGGAGGCAGCAGUGGGGAAUAUUGGACAAUGGGCGAAAGCCUGAUCCAGCAAUGCCGCGUGAGUGAUGAAGGUCUUCGGAUUGUAAAGCUCUUUCGACGGGGAAGAUAAUGACGGUACCCGUAGAAGAAGCCCCGGCUAACUUCGUGCCAGCAGCCGCGGUAAUACGAAGGGGGCUAGCGUUGUUCGGAUUUACUGGGCGUAAAGCGUGCGUAGGCGGCUUAUCAAGUCAGAAGUGAAAGCCCGGGGCUCAACUCCGGAAUGGCUUUUGAGACUGGUAGGCUGGAGUUCGGGAGAGGGUAGUGGAAUUCCCAGUGUAGAGGUGAAAUUCGUAGAUAUUGGGAAGAACACCGGUGGCG
This 627-nucleotide ribosomal RNA is filed under the name uncultured bacterium. RNAcentral describes it as "bacterial SSU rRNA". It matches the Rfam family "Bacterial small subunit ribosomal RNA", at positions 56 to 717 of the family's 1533-position model. The record is from RNAcentral.